RNAcentral lists this long non-coding RNA (325 nucleotides) under Cercocebus atys (sooty mangabey). RNAcentral's name for it is "lncRNA (ENSCATG00000045695.1)". Lineage: Eukaryota; Metazoa; Chordata; Mammalia; Primates; Cercopithecidae. The record is from RNAcentral.
GCCAUGAUAAGAGGAAGCCAGUGACGGAUUCACCAGCUUUUCUGAAAAUCAGGUCAUAAGAAAUGAAACAGACGCUGUUUUCACAAGAAAACGAGUGUGCAAGAAGUAUGUUGUAACUGAAGUGGCGUACUGCCUGCCACCCAAGAGGUUGCUCUGUAAGUGGUGAGUUUUGAGGAAAUAAGACUUUCAUCUAUUGUAUUUUUCGUGGUGUCACAGCACUAGGAAACAUGUAGAAAAUGAUUUCAAGUAGUAAAUGAAAGCUUUCCAGACAUUAGGAAUUAAAAUAGAAACUAUUUACAUGUAUGCCUUUUUAUAUCUAAAAGAG